UACCCAGAAGAGUGGCUCAAGUUCACAUUCAGAAUUUAUUUGUUGAAAGAGUAUCUCCACUUUAUCACAAUCGAGCACUUCCAAUUCUUUCAGAAGUGGCCAGCUUGAACUAAACCUUCUAGAGCAAAAUCUUUUCAGUUGGUGUAAACCGGAGAGUGUGAGAGAGGUAAGGUUAGGGAAUAAGAGUAAAGGUGCUGCUUCAUCUUCAUUUUCAUUGGCAACAAUUGCCUCCACUCCACUCUCCGAUAUAUAUAGGUCCUCAAGAUGCACAAGAGCACUCGCCACAGAAACCGGAAAAAGGUUUAGCAGUUUGUUGCAUCCCCUUACUUGCAAUUUCCUUAAUUUGGAAAAUGAAUUUGCUGGAAGUUGGUCAGGCCACAAUGCUCUUAUAUUAUCUAGUCCGCGUACAGACAAGGACUCCAACCCUGGGAGUGCAACCUCUGCAAUUGAUGAUCCCUUUAGUUAAUAAUAUAUACAUAUACAUUCCUAAUAAUUAGACACAUGUAAAUAGAAAAUAAGAGGUUAAAGGAGAAUAUAUCAGUAUAACAAAGCACAAAAUUUAAACUAGAUUCAAGAAGAUCAAGAAAGAGAAAAGAAAAGAAAAAGCCUCCAGAUUUUGAAGAUACAAUGAAACUUAAAAAAAAAAAAAAAAACCUUCAAAUUUUCCUUUCGAAAUGAGCUAAUAAGAGGAUUUUUUUUUUCUUUUUUCUUUGCAUCUCUUUCAAAUUUGAUUAACUUCUAUGGAAAACGUAUUUUAACUAGUUAUGGAAAACGGAUAUUUUUUUUUUAACUUUUAUAUAAGAUACAAGUAAUACUUUAAAAAAAUUGUGAUAUCUAAAUAAUUUUUUGAAAAAUUAUUUUGAAAGAAAUAAGGUAAAUCUAUACUUUUUGUAUAAGAUGUUCAACCUUUAUAUACAAAUUUCUAAUUUUUUUUUUUAAAGUGUAUCCAAAUGGACACUAAACUAUCUAGUUUUUAAUUGUUACAACUUUGAAUUGGAUUUUAUGGUAAACUAAUUUACAAGUUAAUGCAUGGAUUCAUCUUAGAUUCCAUCUAUAAAUUUUUUUAAUUAUCUAAUAUAAGACAUUAUAUUAAUGGGUUGAAUUAAUAAUGUAAUUAUAAUUUAUUUGGCAACUUUCUUCCUUCAAAUAUAUAAAAUGAAAAUAAAUUUUAAAAAAUAAAAAAAAUGAAAAAAAUAAAAAAUAAAAAAAGAUUUUUUUUAUAGUUUUUCUAAGGUGAUUUUGUAGAGUAUUGUUAGUUUAUAGUUUUAACUUUAUUUCAUUUUACUUUUAACUUUAUUUAUUGAGGUAUGUUCUUUUUUGCAACUCUUGUUUAGAUUUUAUAGAGAAUAUAAAUUUUAAGAAAAAAAAUGAAAUUUAAAUAAAAUAAGAAUAAAGAAAGGCAAAAGGUGGAUGAAUUUUCUUAAGGCAAAAGUUUGAUAACUUGGCACUAUCAUGUAAUGGGUGAAAUUUUUAAAUACUCAACAAAGGCUAGUGAAAUUUAAAUUAAAAGCUUGACAUGUACCUUUUCGACCAAAAUCUUUGGAGUUGGUGUAAAGUUUUGAGUAUGAGAGAGGUUAGUAUAGGGAAUAUUAUUGCACAUUAGUUCAAAUAAAACAUCAACAUUUUUUUUUGUUAAAUUCUAAAUGAACACCACUAUAAAUUAAUGCGAUUUUGUAUGCUCAAUUAAAUAAACUCGUUCUUAAGGCAUCACAUGAAGUGUUUAAGUCUAAUUAAUAUUAAUUAAAAAUGAUUAUAUUAAAAAAAAUCCAAAGUAAUUUAUUUUUAUCAUAAGUCAAGUAGGAUAGUUUUAUAAAUAAUUGGUUCUAGUUUCUAGUAUUAUUGUACACAAUCGCUAUGUUUGUUGCACCUCCAAAAAAUCUACUACUUGUAAUUAAUUGUAUAUUAUUCUCCAUAUUCACAUCAGUUUAUGUAGUAUGAUUAAUUUAGCAACAAAAUAUAAGUUUACUUGAAAUCGCUUUAAAUUCCUAUGAUAUUAAAGUUUAAGAUUAAAACAAUGUAACAUUAGCCAAAAAGAUUAAGAUCUAUAAUGUAACAUAUAAAAUUUAGAAAAUUCAAGGAAGGGUAAACUCGCACCUGUUCUACCCAGAAGAGUGGCUCAAGUUCACAUUCAGAAUUUAUUUGUUGAAAGAGUAUCUCCACUUUAUCACAAUCGAGCACUUCCAAUUCUUUCAGAAGUGGCCAGCUUGAACUAAACCUUCUAGAGCAAAAUCUUUUGAGUUGGUGUAAACCGGAGAGUGUGAGAGAGGUAAGGUUAGGGAAUGAGAGUAAAGGUGCUGCUUCAUCUUCAUUUUCAUUGGCAACAAUUGCCUCCACUCCACUCUCCGAUAUAUAAAGGUCCUCAAGUUGCACAAGAGCACUCGCCACAGAAACCGGAAAAAGGUUUAGCAAUUUGUUGCAUCCCCUUCCUUGCAAUUUCCUUAAUUUGGAAAAUGAAUUUGCUGGAAGUUGGUCAGGCCACAAUGCUCUUAUAUUAUCUAGUCCACGUACAGACAAGGACUCCAAGCCUGGGAGUGCAACCUGUGCAAUUGAUGAUCCCUUUAGUUAAUAAUAUAUACAUAUACAUUCCUAAUAAUUAGACACAUGUAAAUAGAAAAUAAGAGGUUAAAGGAGAAUAUAUCAGUAUAACAAAGCACAAAAUUUAAACUAGAUUCAAGAAGAUCAAGAAAGAGAAAAGAAAAGAAAAAGCCUCCAGAUUUUGAAGAUACAAUGAAACUUAAAAAAAAAAAAAAAAAAACUUCCAAAUUUUCCUUUCGAAAUGAGGUAAUAAGAGGAUUUUUUUUUUCUUUUUUCUUUGCCUCUCUUUCAAAUUUGAUUAACUUCUAUGGAAAACGUAUUUUAACUAGUUAUGGAAAACCGAUUUUUUUUUUUUUAACUUUUAUAUAAGAUACAAGUAAUACUUUAAAAAAAUUGUGAUAUCUAAAUAAUUUUUUGAAAAAUUAUUUUUAAAGAAAUAAGGUAAAUCUAUACUUUUUGUACAAGAUGUUCUACCUUUAUAUACAAAUUUCUGAUUUUUUUUUUAAAAGUGUAUCCAAAUGGACACUAAACUAUCUAGUUUUUAAUUGUUACAACUUUGAAUUGGAUUUUAUGGUAAACUAAUUUACAAGUUAAUGCAUGGAUUCAUCUUAGAUUCCAUCUAUAAAUUUUUUUAAUUAUCUAAUAUAAGACAUUAUAUUAAUGAGUUGAAUUAAUAAUGUAAUUAUAAUUUAUUUGGCAACUUUCUUCCUUCAAAUAUAUAAAAUGAAAAUAAAGUUUAAAAAAUAAAAAAAAUGAAAAAAAUAAAAAAUAAAAAAUGAUUUUUUUUAUAGUUUUUCUAAGAUGAUUUUGUAGAGUACUGUUAGUUUAUAGUUUUAACUUUAUUUCAUUUUACUUUUAACUUUAUUUAUUGAGGUAUGUUCUUUUUUGAAACUCUUGUUUAGAUUUUAUAGAGAAUAUAAAUUUUAAGAAAAAAAAUGAAAUUUAAAUAAAAUAAGAAUAAAGAAAGGCAAAAGGUGGAUGAAUUUUUUUAAGGCAAAAGUUUGAUAACUUGGCACUAUCAUGUAAUGGGUGAAAUUUUUAAAUACUCAACAAAGGCUAGUGAAAUUUAAAUUAAAAGCUUGACAUGUACCUUUUCGACCAAAAUCUUUGGAGUUGGUGUAAAGUUUUGAGUAUGAGAGAGGUUAGUCUAGGGAAUAUUAUUGCACAUUAGUUCAAAUAAAACAUCAACAUUUUUUUUUUGUUAAAUUCUAAAUGAACACCGCUAUAAAUUAAUGCGAUUUUGUAUGCUCAAUUAAAUAAACUUGUUCUUAAGGCAUCACAUGAAGUGUUUAAGUCUAAUUAAUAUUAAUUAAAAAUGAUUAUAUUAAAAAAAAUCCAAAGUAAUUUAUUUUUAUCAUAAGUCAAGUAGGAUAGUUUUAUAAAUAAUUGGUUCUAGUUUCUAGUACUAUUGUACACAAUCGCUAUGUUUGUUGCACCUCCAAAAAAUCUACUACUUGUAAUUAAUUGUAUAUUAUUCUCCAUAUUCACAUCAGUUUAUGUAGUAUGAUUAAUUUAGCAACAAAAUAUAAGUUUACUUGAAAUCGCUUUAAAUUCCUAUGAUAUUAAAGUUUAAGAUUAAAACAAUGUAACAUUAGCCAAAAAGAUUAAGAUCUAUAAUGUAACAUAUAAUAUUUAGAAAAUUCAAGGAAGGGUAAACUCGCACCUGUUCUACCCAGAAGAGUGGCUCAAGUUCACAUUCAUAAUUUAUUUGUUGAAAGAGUAUCUCCACUUUAUCACAAUCGAGCACUUCCAAUUCUUUCAGAAGUGGCCAGCUUGAACUAAACCUUCUAGAGAAAAAUCUUUUGAGUUGGUGUAAACCGGAGAGUGUAAGAGAGGUAAGGUUAGGGAAUAAGAGUAAAAGUGCUGCUUCAUCUUCAUUUUCAUUGGCAACAAUUGCCUCCACUCCACUUUCCGAUAUAUAUAGGUCCUCAAGUUGCACAAGAGCACUCGCCACAGAAACCGGAAAAAGGUUUAGCAAUUUGUUGCAUCCCCUUACUUGCAAUUUCCUUAAUUUGGAAAAUGAAUUUGCUGGAAGUUGGUCAGACCACAAUGCUCUUAUAUUAUCUAGUCCGCGUACAGACAAGGACUCCAAACCUGGGAGUGCAACCUGUGCAAUUGAUGAUCCCUUUAGUUAAUAAUAUAUACAUAUACAUUCCUAAUAAUUAGACACAUGUAAAUAGAAAAUAAGAGGUUAAAGGAGAAUAUAUCAGUAUAACAAAGCACAAAAUUUAAACUAGAUUCAAGAAGAUCAAGAAAGAGAAAAGAAAAGAAAAAGCCUCCAGAUUUUGAAGAUACAAUGAAACUUAACAAAAAAAAAAAAAAACCACCAAAUUUUCCUUUCGAAAUGAGGUAAUAAGAGGAUUUUUUUUUUUUCUUUUUUCUUUGCCUCUCUUUCAAAUUUGAUUAACUUCUAUGGAAAACGUAUUUUAACUAGUUAUGGAAAACAUAUUUUUUUUUUAAAAAACUUUUCUAUAAGAUACAAGUAAUACUUUAAAAAAAUUGUGAUAUCUAAAAAAUUUUUUGAAAAAUUAUUUUUAAAGAAAUAAGGUAAAUCUAUACUUUUUGUAUAAGAUGUUCUACCUUUAUAUACAAAUUUCUGAUUUUUUUUUUAAAAGUGUAUCCAAAUGGACACUAAACUAUCUAGUUUUUAAUUGUUACAACUUUGAAUUGGAUUUUAUGGUAAACUAAUUUACAAGUUAAUGCAUGGAUUCAUCUUAGAUUCCAUCUAUAAAUUUUUUUAAUUAUCUAAUAUAAGACAUUAUAUUAAUGGGUUGAAUUAAUAAUGUAAUUAUAAUUUAUUUGGCAAGUUUCUUCCUUCAAAUAUAUAAAAUGAAAAUAAAUUUUAAAAAAUAAAAAAAAUGAAAAAAAUAAAAAAUAAAAAAAGAUUUUUUUUAUAGUUUUUCUAAGAUGAUUUUGUAGAGUACUGUUAGUUUAUAGUUUUAACUUUAUUUCAUUUUACUUUUAACUUUAUUUAUUGAGGUAUGUUCUUUUUUGAAACUCUUGUUUAGAUUUUAUAGAGGAUAUAAAUUUUCAGAAAAAAAAAAUUAAAUUUAAAUAAAAUAGGAAUAAAGAAAGGCAAAAGGUGGAUGAAUUUUUUUAAGGCAAAAGUUUGAUAACUUGGCACUAUCAUGUAAUGGGUGAAAUUUUUAAAUACUCAACAAAGGCUAGUGAAAUUUAAAUUAAAAGCUUGACAUGUACCUUUUCGACCAAAAUCUUUGGAGUUGGUGUAAAGUUUUGAGUAUGAGAGAGGUUAGUCUAGGGAAUAUUAUUGCACAUUAGUUCAAAUAAAACAUCAACAUUUUUUUUUUUGUUAAAUUCUAAAUGAACACCACUAUAAAUUAAUGCGAUUUGUAUGCUCAAUUAAAUAAACUCGUUCUUAAGGCAUCACAUGAAGUGUUUAAGUCUAAUUAAUAUUAAUUAAAAAUGAUUAUUUUAAAAAAAUCCAAAGUAAUUUAUUUUUAUCAUAAGUCAAGUAGGAUAGUUUUAUAAAUAAUUGGUUCUAGUUUCUAGUAUUAUUGUACACAAUCGCUAUGUUUGUUGCACCUCCAAAAAAUCUACUACUUGUAAUUAAUUGUAUAUUAUUCUCCAUAUUCACAUCAGUUUAUGUAGUAUGAUUAAUUUAGCAACAAAAUAUAAGUUUACUUGAAAUCGCUUUAAAUUCCUAUGAUAUUAAAGUUUAAGAUUAAAACAAUGUAACAUUAGCCAAAAAGACUAAGAUCUAUAAUGUAACAUAUAAAAUUUAGAAAAUUCAAGGAAGGGUAAACUCGCACCUGUUCUACCCAGAAGAGUGGCUCAAGUUCACAUUCAGAAUUUAUUUGUUGAAAGAGUAUCUCCACUUUAUCACAAUCGAGCACUUCCAAUUCUUUCAGAAGUGGCCAGCUUGAACUAAACCUUCUAGAGCAAAAUCUUUUGAGUUGGUGUAAACCGGAGAGUGUGAGAGAGGUAAGGUUAGGGAAUGAGAGUAAAGGUGCUGCUUCAUCUUCAUUUUCAUUGGCAACAAUUGCCUCCACUCCACUCUCCGAUAUAUAAAGGUCCUCAAGUUGCACAAGAGCACUCGCCACAGAAACCGGAAAAAGGUUUAGCAAUUUGUUGCAUCCCCUUACUUGCAAUUUCCUUAAUUUGGAAAAUGAAUUUGCUGGAAGUUGGUCAGGCCACAAUGCUCUUAUAUUAUCUAGUCCGCGUACAGACAAGGACUCCAAACCUGGGAGUGCAACCUGUGCAAUUGAUGAUCCCUUUAGUUAAUAAUAUAUACAUAUACAUUCCUAAUAAUUAGACACAUGUAAAUAGAAAAUAAGAGGUUAAAGGAGAAUAUAUCAGUAUAACAAAGCACAA
Molecule: long non-coding RNA, 6867 nt
Filed under: Vitis vinifera (wine grape)
Lineage: Eukaryota; Viridiplantae; Streptophyta; Magnoliopsida; Vitales; Vitaceae
Description: long non-coding RNA (VVIN_LNC003280)
Source: RNAcentral